RNAcentral lists this long non-coding RNA (849 nucleotides) under Coturnix japonica (Japanese quail). Its description in RNAcentral is "lncRNA (ENSCJPG00005012809.1)". The record is from RNAcentral. Lineage: Eukaryota; Metazoa; Chordata; Aves; Galliformes; Phasianidae.
GGGAAAAAGCCAAGAAGGAAAAGAAAAAUUCCCGCUGGCACAUCCGAUACACCUCCUGAAUUUUUGGGGAGGGGAAAUUUUGGACGCACAGAUUCCCAGAAAGGCGAGGGCACAUCUUGCUGCUACCCGCACAGCACCCGGCACACACGCUCUGCCGGCCGCCUGACAUUUCUGUGCCGCUCUAAGGUCCCGGCCGUGCUCCGCCGGGGGUUCCCCACUGCCCGCAGCCCCACGCCGCGCACACGGAACACCUGGGGGGCUGCGGCUGCGCCCGGAGACCGCAGCGCCCCCCGCUCCGCUGCCCUACGGGGCUGCGGGCGGUGCAGCUCACCUGGCCAUGGCCAGUUUCGCCACCCCCGCUGCCAUUUGUUGCUCGCUUUCGGAGGGAGCAGCUCUACUCCCCAUCACCGCCGCCUGCUCCGUAGCAACUGGUCCGGAGAUUUCUCUCCUCCUGUCAAGAAGCCUGAAGGCUCUCAGGGACAGGAUUCUCUUAGUUUCAGAUAUGACUGUGCUGAUUACAUCUUGUUUCAGAAGCACAAGCAGCAUUCAGUGAAAACUACCUCCUUUUAGACAUGCAAAUUGCAGAUUGAAGACAGUGACUUUUCCUGCUCCCAAGAAAUGCACUGCUCCUCUGAGAAGAUCAUGAAGAGUGGCUGGAUUUUUAAAGGAAGCAGCAAGUAUAUAGGAGAGUCAUUACUAGAAGACAAUUGCCUUGUGCAAUUUCCUCAACUCAGAAGUCUUCCUGGACUCAGUAAAGACAUGCAACAAAUAAGUAAUUAUCUCAAGAAUUAGAUGUACUUAAUCUGUGCUUUUAAUUAAAACUAGAUGAAAUUCAAAGCUGAAGGUUCA